Long non-coding RNA from Papio anubis (olive baboon), 654 nucleotides. NCBI's taxonomy places the organism in Eukaryota, Metazoa, Chordata, Mammalia, Primates, Cercopithecidae. The record is from Ensembl.
AUGUACGCACACCACGCAGGAGGCACGUACUCAGCCAUGCAUAUAGACAGCCAAGUCAUUAUGAAUCUCGCAUUCUCGAAGACACGCACUGACGACAUCACGCACGUACGCACGCCCUGGCUGCUAGGAGACGCUAUUCCCUUUACCAGGCCCUCGUGCGCGCCAGCCAGCCAGGCCAAGGCCAGGGGAGCUCGAAACUGGCAACCUGGGCGAAGAACCGGAAGGAGGAAAAGGAAACGGAGGGAGAAAGAUGAGAUGCACCUACUUCUCCCUGGAGAAGCUCGAGGAAGCAGGAAUACUGAAGAUGAGAGACCACAUCUGCUCAGGGGUUUAUUCUUCCGUCUGUUUGCAGGGCUGUUUUGGACUCAGUAUUCACCUAAGCACUCCAAACUACCCAGCACACCCUGCCUGCGCAGCUCUGUGCUGCACCUUCACUCUAGUCACGGGUGUGGCAGUCAGCUCACCAAUUCCUCCUGCUUCCCUGGGACUCGCUGGCUUUUAGCACCGCAAGUCCCUCAGCAAACUGGGACUGUUGAUCACCCUACCCGGCAGCCAGUGAUAAGGCAUCUGCCCUGCCUGGAUCUCCUCGCCUUCCAGGAGCUUCCUCUUCACAAGCCAGCCAUCCCAGCAAAAGUUCUAACAUCGAAGGUCUAG